Molecule: ribosomal RNA, 351 nt
Filed under: Triticum aestivum (bread wheat)
Lineage: Eukaryota; Viridiplantae; Streptophyta; Magnoliopsida; Poales; Poaceae
Description: partial small subunit ribosomal RNA
Source: RNAcentral
AUGAGGGCGUACGUGAAUGUGACGAUGACCGUCGUCUUGCUCAUCGGGUGCCUGGCGGCGAUCGGCCAGUUGGGUCGCGUGGAGGCCGGGAGAAGCUACAGGGAAGGGCAGCAAGCCGACGGCGAGGCGAGCAAGCUUACGGUGAAGAUCUGCGUCCGCCGGGACUGCGAGACCAAGGGUGAACCUAUCUACACCUCCUGUUUCUGCUGCAUGAGCUUGCCGAACAUACCGUGCUCUUUCACGCGGGAUGAGUGCAAGGCGGAGUGCCCCUACACGGGGCCACCCGCACUGCCCGCCUCCGCCGUCGGCAACGGGACUACCUACGCGUAUGAGCAGAUGGAUGGCAACUGA